RNAcentral lists this transfer RNA (78 nucleotides) under Perca flavescens (yellow perch). RNAcentral's name for it is "tRNA-Tyr". The record is from RNAcentral. Lineage: Eukaryota; Metazoa; Chordata; Actinopteri; Perciformes; Percidae.
CCUUCGAUAGCUCAGUUGGUAGAGGGGAGGACUGUAGUUUGAUAAUUACAGGCAUCCUUAGGUUGCUGGUUCGAAGGA